Molecule: non-coding RNA, 71 nt
Organism: Ictidomys tridecemlineatus (thirteen-lined ground squirrel)
Lineage: Eukaryota; Metazoa; Chordata; Mammalia; Rodentia; Sciuridae
Source: Rfam
GGGAUUGUGACUCAGUGGUAGAGAGCUUGCUUAGCAUGCAUGAGGCCCUGGGUUCAAACCUCAGCAUCACA